RNAcentral lists this ribosomal RNA (1552 nucleotides) under Salmonella enterica subsp. enterica serovar Newport str. CDC 2010K-2159. RNAcentral's name for it is "bacterial SSU rRNA". It matches the Rfam family "Bacterial small subunit ribosomal RNA". The record is from RNAcentral. Lineage: Bacteria; Pseudomonadati; Pseudomonadota; Gammaproteobacteria; Enterobacterales; Enterobacteriaceae.
AAAUUGAAGAGUUUGAUCAUGGCUCAGAUUGAACGCUGGCGGCAGGCCUAACACAUGCAAGUCGAACGGUAACAGGAAGCAGCUUGCUGCUUCGCUGACGAGUGGCGGACGGGUGAGUAAUGUCUGGGAAACUGCCUGAUGGAGGGGGAUAACUACUGGAAACGGUGGCUAAUACCGCAUAACGUCGCAAGACCAAAGAGGGGGACCUUCGGGCCUCUUGCCAUCAGAUGUGCCCAGAUGGGAUUAGCUUGUUGGUGAGGUAAUGGCUCACCAAGGCGACGAUCCCUAGCUGGUCUGAGAGGAUGACCAGCCACACUGGAACUGAGACACGGUCCAGACUCCUACGGGAGGCAGCAGUGGGGAAUAUUGCACAAUGGGCGCAAGCCUGAUGCAGCCAUGCCGCGUGUAUGAAGAAGGCCUUCGGGUUGUAAAGUACUUUCAGCGGGGAGGAAGGUGUUGUGGUUAAUAACCACAGCAAUUGACGUUACCCGCAGAAGAAGCACCGGCUAACUCCGUGCCAGCAGCCGCGGUAAUACGGAGGGUGCAAGCGUUAAUCGGAAUUACUGGGCGUAAAGCGCACGCAGGCGGUCUGUCAAGUCGGAUGUGAAAUCCCCGGGCUCAACCUGGGAACUGCAUUCGAAACUGGCAGGCUUGAGUCUUGUAGAGGGGGGUAGAAUUCCAGGUGUAGCGGUGAAAUGCGUAGAGAUCUGGAGGAAUACCGGUGGCGAAGGCGGCCCCCUGGACAAAGACUGACGCUCAGGUGCGAAAGCGUGGGGAGCAAACAGGAUUAGAUACCCUGGUAGUCCACGCCGUAAACGAUGUCUACUUGGAGGUUGUGCCCUUGAGGCGUGGCUUCCGGAGCUAACGCGUUAAGUAGACCGCCUGGGGAGUACGGCCGCAAGGUUAAAACUCAAAUGAAUUGACGGGGGCCCGCACAAGCGGUGGAGCAUGUGGUUUAAUUCGAUGCAACGCGAAGAACCUUACCUGGUCUUGACAUCCACAGAACUUUCCAGAGAUGGAUUGGUGCCUUCGGGAACUGUGAGACAGGUGCUGCAUGGCUGUCGUCAGCUCGUGUUGUGAAAUGUUGGGUUAAGUCCCGCAACGAGCGCAACCCUUAUCCUUUGUUGCCAGCGGUCCGGCCGGGAACUCAAAGGAGACUGCCAGUGAUAAACUGGAGGAAGGUGGGGAUGACGUCAAGUCAUCAUGGCCCUUACGACCAGGGCUACACACGUGCUACAAUGGCGCAUACAAAGAGAAGCGACCUCGCGAGAGCAAGCGGACCUCAUAAAGUGCGUCGUAGUCCGGAUUGGAGUCUGCAACUCGACUCCAUGAAGUCGGAAUCGCUAGUAAUCGUGGAUCAGAAUGCCACGGUGAAUACGUUCCCGGGCCUUGUACACACCGCCCGUCACACCAUGGGAGUGGGUUGCAAAAGAAGUAGGUAGCUUAACCUUCGGGAGGGCGCUUACCACUUUGUGAUUCAUGACUGGGGUGAAGUCGUAACAAGGUAACCGUAGGGGAACCUGCGGUUGGAUCACCUCCUUACCUUAAAGAA